Molecule: long non-coding RNA, 701 nt
Filed under: Homo sapiens (human)
Lineage: Eukaryota; Metazoa; Chordata; Mammalia; Primates; Hominidae
Description: non-protein coding lnc-RBMY1A1-10:1
Source: RNAcentral
AGGCGAGGCCCCCGGGCCUCUCGAGGAGCGGCCCCCAGAGUCUAGGGGUGCCAGGGGCGUGGGGUGGGCGGCUCAGACCUUGGUCUGUGGGAGCCCUAGGAGGGCACCGUGUUAAGUCUGGAGGCUCUGCGGGAGAGGGCGGCCUGGGGGGAAGAGGCGUGCUCCUGGUAAAUGACAUCACGACAGAAGUGGAAGUGGUGGCCAAGGAAGAGGCCGACGUGGAGCAGCAGCAGGAGGACCACUGGGCAGAGCCGGGCCCUGGCCCCAGUAUGCCCCGGCCCGCAACGGACUCGCUGGAGGUCCAUCAUUUGCAGCUGGGCUUUGUAAAUGCCGAUGAAGUCCUGCUGAGCUACAUGAUGGAUUUGCAGGUUGAGGAACUCAGCCACCCCAGGUACUGGCAUCAGGAUGAAGGUUUCCUUUUGUAACAGCCUUUACUUCCACAAUGAAGUGAUCAUUCAGGAGUACUGCGUUGGCAUCCUUGAAACAGGGUGUCUCAUUCCACUGCAGUCCAGUGGUUGUGGGAUCAUGAAGGUCAAGCCUCCAGCUGCAGGCAGUACACCUACAUCUGACCUUCUUCAGCUGGUUGGUUGCCCCUGGCUACCCAGGUCCCGGCAGGAUUGCUGAGAUCAUCAGCCAGGGCCUGUGGCUCAAUCCCCUUCAGUACUUCCCGAGGGAGGGAGGCCAUUAGAGAGGGAACAGAG